Aegilops tauschii subsp. strangulata is the source of this 4311-nucleotide long non-coding RNA. RefSeq lists it as uncharacterized. Lineage: Eukaryota; Viridiplantae; Streptophyta; Magnoliopsida; Poales; Poaceae. The record is from RefSeq and is a predicted model, not a curated record.
AAUAUGAGUAUUACAAGAGUUGAUCUACCACGAGAUCGUAAUGGCUAAAUCCUAGAAGUUUAGCCUGUAUGACUGUGGUAAUGAAUAUCUUGUCCGGACUAUGCCCUCCGGUUUAUAUAGACACCGGAGGGAUCUAGGGUUACACAGAGUCGGUUACAUAGGAAAGAAUCUUCAUAGAUGAUCGUCAAGGAGAGUCCUAUCCGGAUACGGGUAGAGUCUUUGGCCUUCAUGUCUUCACAGCCCAUCAGUCCGGCCAUGGAUAAUAGGCCGGACGCCCAGGACCCCUUCCUGCAGUACUCCCUCACCGGCGGCUGCACUGGCGCUCAGAUCGCCGCCGCCUCGCACCGACGCCCUGGUCAUGUCGGUUCCUACCCACCUGCCUCGAUCCCACUGUCCUAACCUAGAGGACAGGCGACACCUGUGUUGCAGACGUCGGCCCCGAUGACGGUGAGGAGCACGGCGCACCUCCACGACGACACCUCACUGCUGCCGCUCGGCGUAGAAGGGCGCACAUCCCCCUCCUAAAGAUGGAACAUCUUGCUUAAUACCUGAGUCCCCGGCCCUCGUUGCUACAGGUUUAUCUGCCCAAUCACAUGAAUUGAAUUUUUUCACCCAAAAAGGUUGAAAUCAACUGCUUUGCAUACACAAUUAAAUAGUGAGUAUCACGUUUUAUUAGCAAAAUUUAAUAGUUCAUACACAAUUAGGAAGUUGCAUGAAGAUUACAUUAUUUUUCUAGAACAUGUUCUAUUGUAAAGAUAAGGUCAGAGGCAUACCAACACAAUGCUUUGUUUAGUGAAGCUACAAAACCCACCAUCAUAACUGAUAAUUCCGUGUUUUAUUGCCUGGUGAAUAUUUAUUCUAUUUCAGUGCUGACUAAUUGGCCCUUUGCUGAUCGAUAUGGUUCCCUUUGAAUGGCAUGAAGGAGGAAUAAGGGUUGCUUCUCACUCCCUUUUGGUCUGUUCUAGCGUGGAUGGAGGGUGACCCAGGCUUGUCCGACCAAAGGUGGCCGGUGAGCCUCUUGGUCUGUGCAGCGAAUGGACAUCAAAUAUAUUACAUUAGAUGAUGGGGGGAAACUGUAGUUGCAGUGCUUCACUUCUGCAACAAUGGACUCCCCGAAGUGCCAACACCUUUACAUGGAUAUUCAGGAUAUUUUUUAAGGUUAGAAUAUGAAAGUAGAACAGCAAGUUCCAUUACUUUCGGAAAAGUGCCCGGCCCUGAAUGAUGCCUUAAUGUGGCUUUUAAGUUUCAGGUAUUAUGCGAUCGACCCAAUUGUUAGCUUUAGGAUGCUUUUUGGAGUCGACUCAUGAAGAUGAUGGCUAGCCUGCACGAACAUUUGUAGCUUCUGCAUAGAUGAUUCAGAUAGUCUACAAGAAAGGUAAAUAAUUAUAGGGGAUAGAUGUACGUUGCUCCCACAAUAUCCAGUUAUUGUCAGCAAACUUGCUUGUGGGCCAUGCCGACGAUGACAGGUGUAUGAAAAUGCAUCUCACCGACGGCGAUUGGAGCACCAACUUGGGUGGCCCAGCUGUUUGACACUGCCGGCUCGACCUAAUCCGCUAGCAGCAUCGAGGAGGACGUGGAGCUCCUAGCCUCCUGAGCCCUCCACGGGGCUCGUCUCGUCAGGCCGCCAUGGUUGCAGUAUAAAAACCCUUACUGCCAUAUACAUGUCCCUUUUUUCCUCCCCGUCGCUUCCGCGGAUGAAAACCACAACAAACUCCUGCAAACACGCGAACAAUCGGCCAUGGCUUCCGCCCUCCGAGCCCCGCGAAGUCAUGUACAAUCUUACCGGCUGGCAUCAUGUACAAUCUUACCGGCUGGGAUCAUAUAGUUAUCAGAGUGUCACUUUUUGAUUUGGUACUGUCAUGUUUUUCAGCAGCCAUUAUAUAAUUAGCUGCUCAUCUUCCCACCUGUUGUUAUAGCCCUCCACAUAUCUGAAGGCAAAGAUGGUCCAUGAGUGACCAUGUGAUGAAAAUCUUCAUGGCUAUUUCAAAAUAGACCUGAUGUUAGGUGAAAAUAUUCAUCAAUGGUUCAAUGAAGAUGCAUCAAAUUUCAAAAUAGAAUGCUAAUAAAUUACACCUAGAGCAAUAUGAGAGUAUUUAAAUUUUGAUGGACCUAAACCUAUCCAGCACAGUACACAAGCUCUUUUAAAAUAUCGACAUUUAUCCGGUUUGCAUUUUUUUGUACUGGAGUUAAACCUAUCCAGCGUGUCCGUGAACCUAAAGUCGGCUUCAGUAUAUAUCAAUUGGAAGUCGGCUUAUGAGGCUUCAGUAUAUAUCAAUUGGAAGCCGGCUUCUGUGGCUCUGCCUGUAUGUUUACAUUUUGCAAACACAGUUUAUGCCUGACAUUUGUGUCUCUUUAUUUAUGCAGAUCUAUUCUAGAGCUCAAGGCAUCAGGUACACUUUAGAUACAAACUCUCGCGCUCAACGUAGUUUCCAUGUAGUGUUAAAUUCCGGUGAACUAUAUCUCACCCCAUGCAUGCUGCCUACUCCUUUAUUGCAAACACAAAGCUGCAUGAGACCAGAUCGAUUAGGUAUACUUUGUUACUGACUGAUUGGUUCAUGGAUUAAGCAUGGACUGUAGGAAAUUAGGAGUUGUACAAGGAGGAAAGGAGAAGAGAAGAGAAGAGGACUUAUUUCAUUGGAUUCGCGGCUGUUUGAUUCCUUUUUGCUGCAAGGAUAGAUCUCCGUUGACCACAUAUUCAGUAGUAGAUCAAAAGCUUAUUUUAAAUUCUAGGAAUAAUUGGGUUCAUAAUUUGGUUGUGGCACCUACAUGAAAGCUGUAGAGUUCAUCGAUAUCUUUCCAAGGAUACUAAGUUUCUGCAAUUCAGAAUAAUGAUUGUCAAGAUAUCACCAAAACAUAUUUCUAUGUUCGAGGAUUUUAAAUACUAGAAGAUUUUCUGUUUUACAAGAAUUACUCUACUUACAGGAAGAACCAGUUUUUGGCCGCCACAUGAACCUGCAAAUGAUCUCCUUCUGAUAUUCAUACUAUUCUCAUUUGCUUGAUUUUGUGAAGUGCAUUAAGAUUUACAGUAUAGACCAGAUAUGUUCAGAAUGGUUUCGAUGUUAAGUGAAAGAUAGGAAGACAUGAUUUCAGUAUCUUGAUGAGGGCUAGAUUUAACAUGCUGAUGAAUAACAGAAGUUAUAUUGCUGGGACAUGUUUUUGGCCUCACAUCACUUAACUCUGCAGCUGGUUUGUAGAGCUGUAUCUUCUCUUAUUCUUUUUGGUUCUUCGGAUGAGCGACGCUGCCUGUGGGUCGUGGACAAAGCGGCUGCUACUUCCAGGAUAACAGGGACAAUGUUGUUGCCAUACCGGCAGGUGCUGGACAUGAUUCUCAAAGAAGACACAGAUGUGCAUGCUUCACAUCUUCUACACGCUUAUGCAAAGUGGGAUUUUAUUCAUAUUUUGAUGAGCUUAAUUUCUUAUGCUACUGUUUGCUUCUGCCUGAAGGAUACAUAUGGUAUGUUUUGUGAGCGGCGGGUAUGGAUGAGGUGAGAGCGUCUGUUAGUGCGUCAUUUUUGUUGGAUACUUUAAUCUGUUAGGGUUGGUAUAUAUUUUGAUUGGCGUGGUUGCCUCAAAGUAAUGCCCUGCUACUCCUUGGGGGGCGUGAGCGAAGAUUUAUGCCUUAAGCAUAGGAAUGAGGGAGUAGGUCUCCAACAGAAUAGGCGAUGAUGCUAGGAGAGGCACAUCGAGGAACAAGUACAUGGUGCUACUCGAUGGUCGGCCACAUUCUCACUAUUAUUUUGGGAUGCCAAAGAGAUAGCACAUGAUGUUCUACUGCUGGGGAAUUAACAAUCAUUAUGCUUACCAAUAUACUGGCAUGUAUUUUUUUCUAAAGUAUAUAGUGGUUUCCUUUAGUUGAAAUACAGAAAAAAUUUCACCCCCAAUGAUUCAACAAGAGUUGUUCAUUAAAAGCGUGUGGUUUCUUUCUUCAUCAAGAAUUGAAAUAAUCUGUGCUAUUAGAACUCCAUGGAGAGCAAUAAUAUAAUUGUCACAUGGGGUGAUCUUUAUUGGCUAAUUGUAUAGCUUAUGAUCUUAUGGAAUUUAGGUUUGUAAAUCCACGUAUUUUUUAGAUGAAGAAACAAAGAAGGAAAUGACUAUAUCAAGGAUCACAUAUGGUUAAAUGUAGAAACAACGAACACGGUGGCAUAUCAGUUGCAACAUGGUGAAACUUUUAGGAUAGAAGGGUAAACGAAUUGCUCGGUCGCUUCAAGAGUUAAUAAUGGACACGGUGGCGCAUGUAUACUUCGCGGUAAUGCAUGAUAUUCGACUGUAUGUUACAACAUGGCAAUGACUCAGGAUAUAUCGGAUCUGCCU